RNAcentral lists this transfer RNA (74 nucleotides) under Arsenophonus endosymbiont of Aleurodicus dispersus. RNAcentral's name for it is "tRNA-Arg". It matches the Rfam family "tRNA". Rfam says of the family: Transfer RNA (tRNA) molecules are approximately 80 nucleotides in length. Their secondary structure includes four short double-helical elements and three loops (D, anti-codon, and T loops). Further hydrogen bonds mediate the characteristic L-shaped molecular structure. tRNAs have two regions of fundamental functional importance: the anti-codon, which is responsible for specific mRNA codon recognition, and the 3' end, to which the tRNAs corresponding amino acid is attached (by aminoacyl-tRNA synthetases). tRNAs cope with the degeneracy of the genetic code in two manners: having more than one tRNA (with a specific anti-codon) for a particular amino acid; and 'wobble' base-pairing, i.e. permitting non-standard base-pairing at the 3rd anti-codon position. Lineage: Bacteria; Pseudomonadati; Pseudomonadota; Gammaproteobacteria; Enterobacterales; Morganellaceae. The record is from RNAcentral.
UAUCCUCUUAGUUAAAUGGAUAUAACAAGCCACUCCUAAGGGCUAAUUGUAGGUUCGAUUCCUGCAGGGGAUGU